GUAGGUGAACCUGCGGAAGGAUCAUUACCGAGUUAGGGUCUUAUAGGCCCGACCUCCAACCCUUUGUUUACUAUACCAUGUUGCUUUGGCAGGCCCGCCUUUCGGCCGCCGGGGUUGCCCCUGGUCAGUGCUUGCCAGUGGCCUUAUUAAAUUCUUUUAUAAUUAUGUUGUCUGAGUAUAAAUAUUAAUAGUUAAAACUUUCAACAACGGAUCUCUUGGUUCUG
This 224-nucleotide unclassified non-coding RNA is filed under the name rhizosphere metagenome. RNAcentral describes it as "partial ribosomal RNA internal transcribed spacer region". The record is from RNAcentral.